Molecule: long non-coding RNA, 193 nt
Organism: Bufo bufo (common toad)
Lineage: Eukaryota; Metazoa; Chordata; Amphibia; Anura; Bufonidae
Exons: 3
Source: RefSeq, a predicted model, not a curated record
UCUCUCACUCAUUGAACACAUCCGUAUGUCAUCCGUAUUUUGCGGAUCCAUACUGUAGAAAUGCUCUGCCGAGCCCAUACUGCUCAUGUGUUUGAUGAUCAAUAAGUUACUGUUUUUGUUUCCAAUCCGCAAAAAACGGAUCGCAUACGGAAACCAUACGGAUAUGUUUUGUGGAAUAACGGAACGGAAGAGG